This 171-nucleotide unclassified non-coding RNA is filed under the name uncultured fungus. Its description in RNAcentral is "sequence contains ITS1". Lineage: Eukaryota; Fungi. The record is from RNAcentral.
AAGAGUUGCAAAACUCCCACAUACCAUUGUGAACCUCACCUUUAUACCGUUUCCUCGGCGGGCGGCGGCUCGCCGCCCCCAGCCGGCCCGCUCUAGGGCCGGGCCCGCCAGAGGCGCACCAACUCUUGGUUUUCGGUUGGCUUCUCUGAGUUAUACUUUUAAAAUAAGUUA